CAAAGGAGGAGAACGGGCUCGCCUCCUCUCCCUCUCGCUCAAGUCCUCGCCGCCGCCGCCACCACCCACGCCGGCAGCUUCCGGCGAGCUCCGACGCCGCGCAGCACGCCCCCCAACUCCCCAGAGUCCGCUCCUCCCUACCCUCCGGCCAGAUUCUCCGCUCCCGGCCUCUACCGCCCGCUCGAAACGCCACCCCCAUGGCUAGGGUUUCGGGCAGGGCUUCGCCGGCGCGUCUCCGGCGGCCCAGAUGCAGAUGGAGCACGCCAUGGGAAUUCCCCAUCCACCAUGGUCGCCGCCAUCAAGGGCUUCUUCACGGAGAUGUGGAGGACGCCAUGGACCUGCAGCUCCAAGGUCAACAGGGAGGAACCCUAGCCAUAAGCACCUCCUCGGAUGACGCCUCUGCUACACCAAGAUAGAGAUAUAUAUGAUAUCUACAUGGCUGCUAUGCUACUUUUUUUGUGUGAUGAAUCAUUGUGAGUUUCGAAGAAACUUCCAAUGUUACCUCCGCCAAGUUUGCCGGCAGAAGAAGCACAUCCAUUGAGCCGUUCAAUGUCGCCUGCGGUGGCUACACCAGAGGUAUGUAUCCCCUUGAAAGCUAAUCAGUUGAUAGAAAUAGAAGCCCCUAUUUCAGUUUAUUGUUUCUGAAUUGGUGCUACUUCUGAUGGCUCUUGUUUCAGUUUAUUGUUUCUGAAUUUAUACUUUGAAUUUAGUAGAUAGAAGCCCCUGAAAUUUGACCCAUCUAUGUUAUGUCACAUC
Long non-coding RNA from Triticum dicoccoides, 756 nucleotides. RefSeq lists it as uncharacterized. The record is from RefSeq and is a predicted model, not a curated record. Lineage: Eukaryota; Viridiplantae; Streptophyta; Magnoliopsida; Poales; Poaceae. The transcript has 4 exons.